GGACUGGCAGAGGCCGACUGUCUAAAUAAAACAAAGCAUUGCGAUGGCCCUAAUACGUGUUGACACAAUGUGAUUUUUGCCCUGUGCUCCGAACGUCAAAGUGAAGAAAUCCAAGUAAGCACGAGCAAAUGCCGGGAGUAACUACGACUAUCUGCCAAAUCAUGCCAAAUGGAAGUAUUGUCAUAUUGUGUGCCUUUCAACUAACGAAUUCGUUCAUAAAAAUAAAAAGAAUAAGACUACAAAAACAAGACUUCG
RNAcentral lists this non-coding RNA (255 nucleotides) under Glossina morsitans morsitans. RNAcentral describes it as "eukaryotic large subunit ribosomal RNA". It matches the Rfam family "Eukaryotic large subunit ribosomal RNA", at positions 2121 to 2337 of the family's 3401-position model. The record is from RNAcentral. Lineage: Eukaryota; Metazoa; Arthropoda; Insecta; Diptera; Glossinidae.